GCCCCGGUAGCUUAGUGGUAGAGCGGCUGCCUCGUAAGCAGCAGGUCGAGGGUUCGAAUCCCUCCCGGGGCU
RNAcentral lists this transfer RNA (72 nucleotides) under Candidatus Heimdallarchaeota archaeon. Its description in RNAcentral is "tRNA-Thr". It matches the Rfam family "tRNA". Rfam says of the family: Transfer RNA (tRNA) molecules are approximately 80 nucleotides in length. Their secondary structure includes four short double-helical elements and three loops (D, anti-codon, and T loops). RNAcentral also lists the same sequence under 2 other names. Lineage: Archaea; Promethearchaeati; Candidatus Heimdallarchaeota. The record is from RNAcentral.